This 537-nucleotide ribosomal RNA is filed under the name uncultured bacterium. Its description in RNAcentral is "bacterial SSU rRNA". The stretch from base 31 to 510 matches the Rfam family "Bacterial small subunit ribosomal RNA", at positions 39 to 535 of the family's 1533-position model. The record is from RNAcentral.
UUNGNAAUUUAAUUNGCGGCCGCGAANUUCGCCCUUUCUCUAACACAUGCAAGUCGAACGAAAGAUUGUAGCAAUACUGUCUUAGUGGCCGAACGGGUGAGUAACGCGUUGGUGACCUGCCCCGAAGUGUGGGAUACCAGUUCGAAAGGACUUGCUAAUACCGCAUAAUAUCCAGGAAGAUUAGAACCUGCUGGAUUAAAGGAUUUAUUCGCUUCGGGAGGGGCCUGCGUCCCAUCAGCUAGUUGGUAGGGUAAUGGCUUACCAAGGCGAUGACGGGUAGGGGACCUGAGAGGGUGGCCCCCCACAAUGGAACUUGAAACACGGUCCAUACACCUACGGGUGGCAGCAGUAGGGAAUAUUAGUAAUGGGCGAAAGCCUGAACUAGCAACGCCGCGUGUGCGAUGAAGGCCUUCGGGUUGUAAAGCACUUUUUGAGAGGAUGAGGAAGGACGGUACUCUCAGAAUAAGUCUCGGCUAACUACGUGCCAGCAGCCGCGGUAAYAMGGGGAAUUGUUUAACCUCAGNCNNGNCCUUUGAG